GAUGAAGAACGUAGCGAAAUGCGAUACUUGGUGUGAAUUGCAGAAUCCCGUGAACCAUCGAGUCUUUGAACGCAAGUUGCGCCCGAAGCCAUUAGGCCGAGGGCACGCCUGCCUGGGCGUCACACGUCGUUGCCCCCCCAUCUACUCCUUCGGGAUUGCGGGGGGCGGAUGAUGGCCUCUCGUGCGCCUCGUCGCGCGGUUGGCCUAAAUGCCAAGUCCUCGGCGACGCACGCCACGACAAUCGGUGGUUGCGAAACCUCGGUUGCCUGUCGUGUGCGGUCGUCGCGCAUCGAGGGCUCGAAAAAAUUGCCGGGCUUCGGCUCGACUUUCAACGCGACCCCAGGUCAGGCGGGGUUACCCGCUGAAUUUAAGCAUCUCAAUAAGCGGAGGA
This 391-nucleotide unclassified non-coding RNA is filed under the name soil metagenome. RNAcentral's name for it is "partial contains 5.8S ribosomal RNA, internal transcribed spacer 2, and large subunit ribosomal RNA". The stretch from base 1 to 122 matches the Rfam family "5.8S ribosomal RNA", at positions 35 to 154 of the family's 154-position model. The record is from RNAcentral.